UGGGGAAUAUUGGACAAUGGGCGCAAGCCUGAUCCAGCCAUGCCGCGUGUGUGAAGAAGGCCUUCGGGUUGUAAAGCACUUUCAGCGAGGAGGAAGGAGUUGUAGUUAAUAGCUGCAACUUUUGACGUUACUCGCAGAAGAAGCACCGGCUAACUCUGUGCCAGCAGCCGCGGUAAUACAGAGGGUGCAAGCGUUAAUCGGAAUUACUGGGCGUAAAGCGCACGCAGGCGGUUGGUUAAGUCAGAUGUGAAAGCCCCGGGCUCAACCUGGGAAUUGCAUUUGAAACUGGCCAACUAGAGUACGUGAGAGGGGGGUAGAAUUCCAAGUGUAGCGGUGAAAUGCGUAGAGAUUUGGAGGAAUACCAGUGGCGAAGGCGGCCCCCUGGCACGAUACUGACGCU
This 400-nucleotide ribosomal RNA is filed under the name uncultured bacterium. RNAcentral's name for it is "bacterial SSU rRNA". It matches the Rfam family "Bacterial small subunit ribosomal RNA", at positions 355 to 747 of the family's 1533-position model. The record is from RNAcentral.